AUUGAACGCUGGCGGCAGGCCUAACACAUGCAAGUCGAACGGUAACAGAAAGCAGCUUGCUGCUUUGCUGACGAGUGGCGGACGGGUGAUUAAUGUCUGGGAAACUGCCUGAUGGAGGUGGAUAACUACUGGAAACGGUAGCUAAUACCGCAUAACGUCGCAAGACCAAAGAGGGGGACCUUCGGGCCUCUUGCCAUCGGAUGUGCCCAGAUGUGAUUAGCUAGUAGGUGGGGUAACGGCUCACCUAGGCGACGAUCCCUAGCUGGUCUGAGAGGAUGACCAGCCACACUGGAACUGAGACACGGUCCAGACUCCUACGGGAGGCAGCAGUGGGGAAUAUUGCACAAUGGGCGCAAGCCUGAUGCAGCAAUGCCGCGUGUAUGAAGAAGGCCUUCGGGUUGUAAAGUACUUUCAGAGGGGAGGAAGGGAGUAAAGUUAAUACCUGGGCUCAUUGACGGUACCCGAAGAAGAAGCACCGGCUAACUCCGUG
This 490-nucleotide ribosomal RNA is filed under the name uncultured bacterium. RNAcentral describes it as "partial 16S ribosomal RNA". It matches the Rfam family "Bacterial small subunit ribosomal RNA", at positions 30 to 507 of the family's 1533-position model. The record is from RNAcentral.